Prionailurus viverrinus (fishing cat) is the source of this 608-nucleotide long non-coding RNA. RefSeq lists it as uncharacterized. The record is from RefSeq and is a predicted model, not a curated record. Lineage: Eukaryota; Metazoa; Chordata; Mammalia; Carnivora; Felidae. The transcript has 3 exons.
UCAGCCUGCGACACGGCCCCGCCCACGCCGGCGGCCCCGCCCACUCCGCCUCACCUGCGCUGGAGCUCCGGCCAACGCCCGCCAGGCGCAGGGCUGUGUGACAACUCCCAUACACCACCGUCCUCACCUCCUCUCCAAGUCAGAUGCAUCUGUCUCAGAGCCCUUGCGCACGGCACUGGGGCUGAGAGCAGCGACCCUACCUGGUAAAGUUGGAGGUCACUGUGCCGUCUAAAUCACGAGGAGACCUGGAUCCCAUUACCUCCCCAAAAUCCUUCGCUCAGUGAGACUGGGUUGGCUGCUUUUCCCAACUUCAUCCUGCUCCUUCUCCUUCUCCUUUCUGUCUUCCUGCCUCCCCCGUCCUCCAUGUGUUCAGCAAUCUCUGAAAUGAAUCCCCAAAUGCCCCUGUCCCCUCCCCAGAUCCCCCACCUUCCUCUCUCCGUGUGCCCAAAGCACUGACUCUGCCCUUUCCUGAGGGCACUGCUCCCAUAUGUUAUUCACGUUCUAGUAACCUCUGAGCAGGGCUCUGAGUGCCCCAGACCUCCUCCGUGUCUGUAUCUGGCAACAGCAAUGGUUUGCUAAGUGAAUGCGCGUGAUUAAUAAAUUGAGCA